This 460-nucleotide ribosomal RNA is filed under the name uncultured bacterium. Its description in RNAcentral is "bacterial SSU rRNA". It matches the Rfam family "Bacterial small subunit ribosomal RNA", at positions 29 to 491 of the family's 1533-position model. The record is from RNAcentral.
AGCGAACGUUUGCGGCGGGCCUAACACAUGCAAGUCGAACGGGCUAGCAAUAGUCAGUGGCGCACGGGUGCGUAACACGUGGGUAAUCAACCCUUCAGCUCGGGAUAACGCCUUGAAAGGGGCGCUAAUACCGGAUACGACGCGAGGAGCUUCGGCUGCUUGCGGGAAAGAUUCGCAAGGAUCUCUGAAGGACGAGCCUGCGGCCCAUCAGCUAGUUGGUGAGGUAAGAGCUCACCAAGGCGAAGACGGGUAGCUGGUCUGAGAGGAUGAUCAGCCACACUGGAACUGAGACACGGUCCAGACUCCUACGGGAGGCAGCAGUGGGGAAUAUUGCGCAAUGGGCGAAAGCCUGACGCAGCCACGCCGCGUGAGCGAUGAAGGCCUUCGGUCGUAAGACUCUGUGGGAGGAGAAGAAUAAAGACCUGUGAAGAAUAGGGCCGUUGACGGUAGUCUCCUUAGU